Molecule: unclassified non-coding RNA, 597 nt
Filed under: Hevea brasiliensis (rubber tree)
Lineage: Eukaryota; Viridiplantae; Streptophyta; Magnoliopsida; Malpighiales; Euphorbiaceae
Source: RNAcentral
AGGUGAAGUCGGAGCGGCGAGUUCACUCGCUCCAAAAAUUGGUCCACUCGGUCUUUCUCCUAAGAAAAUCGGUGAAGACAUUGCUAAGGAAACUUCAAAGGACUGGAAGGGUCUCAGAGUCACCGUCAAGCUCACUGUCCAAAAUCGUCAAGCUAAGGUAUCAGUUGUACCUUCCGCUGCCGCACUUGUGAUCAAAGCGUUGAAGGAACCUGAACGUGAUAGGAAGAAAACGAAGAAUAUCAAGCAUAAUGGAAAUAUUUCGCUUGAUGAUGUUAUCGAGAUUGCUAAAGUUAUGCAGCCUAGAUCUAUGGCUAAGGAUUUGAGUGGAACAGUGAAGGAGAUUUUAGGUACUUGUGUAUCUGUUGGUUGCACUGUUGAUGGAAAGGAUCCAAAGGAUCUGCAGCAAGAGAUUUCUGAUGGCGAUGUUGAGAUUCCUGAGAAUUGACCGUUUGCAGGCGAAGGUUAAAUUCUGAGUUUCUCUCAAUAUAGUAGUUCUUAAAUUUGGAUUCAUGUUGUUUUGUUUCUGAGAGAAAUGUUAUCAGAUAUUACUUUUCAUAUCUUAUCAUUAUGAAAAAAAAUGUUGAUUUCGUUUCGCAA